AACGAACGCUGGCGGCAGGCCUAACACAUGCAAGUCGAGCGGCAGCACGGGUACUUGUACCUGGUGGCGAGCGGCGGACGGGUGAGUAAUGCCUAGGAAUCUCCCUGGUAGUGGGGGAUAACGCUCGGAAACGGACGCUAAUACCGCAUACGUCCUACGGGAGAAAGCAGGGGACCUUCGGGCCUUGCGCUAUCAGAUGAGCCUAGGUCGGAUUAGCUAGUUGGUGAGGUAAUGGCUCACCAAGGCGACGAUCCGUAACUGGUCUGAGAGGAUGAUCAGUCACACUGGAACUGAGACACGGUCCAGACUCCUACGGGAGGCAGCAGUGGGGAAUAUUGGACAAUGGGCGAAGGCCUGAUCCAGCCAUGCCGCGUGUGUGAAGAAGGUCUUCGGAUUGUAAAGCACUUUAAGUUGGGAGGAAGGGCAUUUAC
RNAcentral lists this ribosomal RNA (431 nucleotides) under uncultured bacterium. RNAcentral's name for it is "bacterial SSU rRNA". It matches the Rfam family "Bacterial small subunit ribosomal RNA", at positions 29 to 459 of the family's 1533-position model. The record is from RNAcentral.